UAAAUUCCCUUUACUGAAAAUACAGCACAGAACAGUGAUUUCCAGGUUUGCUUACUUGCCAGUUGUUUCCAAGGAAGGGCCACUCAACGAAAUACUACUGUGUUCAGCAAAUCAGUGCCUAGCAAAUGAUCCCGUAUCGGUGAAGGUUGCAAUGAGUUGAGAUUAUGCCAUUGCAUUCCAGCCUGGACAACAAGAGCAAGACUGUCUCAGAAAACAAACAAACAAACGAACAAACAAAAAACAAUAAAGGAAACUAGAAUUACAAAGGGUAAGUAGGUUAGACGGACAACACUUGUACAGAAAGUUUAGGAAGCUCUGAACCCCAGAUGGCACCAGGCUACAAUCAGAAAUACCAGAUGGUAAGAGCAAGAACUUGAGAGAGGGCACGGGCACCCUUGCACGUGACAUCCCUCUCUCCAUGUCUUCCGUCUCAGAAGGCUUCCUUCCCACUACUGAGGGUGGCGUCUGGAGGCACCGCUCAGCCGCCCCAGUGGCACUCAACUGAAGAGCAUUUAGCCUUGACCUACAGCAACUAUUUUGGUGAUACUGAAAACGGUGGGCUAUAGAAACAAGGGAUGAGGAGGGGAAGGGGAGAAAACCUCCUCCUUUCUGCCAAUCGAAGAGUCAAAAACUUCGUGUACCCAAAUCACUAAUCCAUUUGAAAAUACUAAACAAGCAUAACCUGAGUGGUGGUUCAGCUUCCACAAACACGUCGAGCUGAUCGAAGGGCAGAUUUUAAUUCUGCAGGCAAACUCAUGCCCCCAUGAAUUUCAGUUACCCGAAAAGGCAUUCGCAUUCAAAGAAACACGCACACACCUUUAAACCAACUUUGUGAUUUUUAUUGAUGGGCGACAACUUUAUACUCCUAGAUAUCUUGAUUUGGAAGUUAGAGUCAACAGAAGCUGUGUUGUGCACGAACCCCAAGGCAUCUCCUUUUCAUUCUAGCCCAUUUUUGCAAAGGGAGAAAGAGUUUCUCUCACUAGAAGAAAUGACUGAUGAGUAAAUUAUAUUAAAAUAACACAAUUUAUUUUUUCGUGGAAUAGAUUAAGAAUGGUGAUGCGGGAAUACGCUUAUGGUAUAUUAAAUGAGAAAACAAGGU
RNAcentral lists this long non-coding RNA (1099 nucleotides) under Homo sapiens (human). RNAcentral's name for it is "non-protein coding lnc-COTL1-2:1". Lineage: Eukaryota; Metazoa; Chordata; Mammalia; Primates; Hominidae. The record is from RNAcentral.